ACGUGGGCCCCAAUUGACUAAGAGGAUGUAAGACUGUGAACUCUUACUUUCUAUAAUGCAGUUUCGAGCUUAGUUCUCGUCCUACUCGACUAUCUACAAACUGUCCUGAGCUUGAAAAAUGUAUAGGAAGAAGGGGUGAGAUUUUAUAAUCCCAAUGAGUAAACAGAUACCAUCUAAAGUAUCUAAAGCCGAGUAAAUUGAGACAAUUAAAAUAAGUCAUCAUACUGUAAUUUCAUUACCUUUCAGUUCAUUUCAACCAAAUAAAAUCAAUCCAUAUAAAUCGAGUAAUCAACUUGGCUUAUGAAUUUCUUAAAACUUUGGCUUGUGCCAAAACUCAUACUCGGUGAUACCUUGCGCAGGGCAUCCAACCAAGUCCCCCAAGGCUGUUAAAAUUUUGUAUACACUUAAAAUAUAUUUUUAGUUUGAGAAAAAUACAGUCGUUCCUUGGCGUUGGUUGAGUUCCCCUUCACGUGGUGGUUUAGCGUGAAGUGAACCCUAAGCUUUACCUCAGGAGAUACCCUACACGCCUCUCCGUUCGAGGUAAUAAUAUAAUGGAGUUUACCGGCACCUCUAAUAGGCUGAUCCACGGAACCCCCUCUGCAGUAAAUAAUUAAUAUAUAAUCCACCAAUCAAUAAAAUUCAUUCUAGCAUGACAUGACAAUUUAUCGCAACCUAGCCUCUCAAGGCUGAAUACACAAUAUAAAUAAUUCUAACACCAAAAUUAGUUUAACCAUUCAUGCUCAUUUAUUGUCAUAAGCUAUUCAAUUCAAAACCAUAAAUUUGCAACACAAGCAGGCAGUCUCCAAUUACUCUAUUUUCAAAACCAAUAUUCGAUUUUCCAGAAAAUUUAUAAAAUCAUUUUAUAAAAUUACAAUUUCUCUUAAAACAUAGCAAUUUACCAUUUAAACCCAUUUUCCAUAAAAUCACAUAAUUGUAUAAAACUACUCUAGAUAAUUAAGACGAUAAUAAGUUCACUCACUGUUCUAGGAGUCGAUGUACUCCUAAUCCCAGUCUCCAAGCACAAUCUCU
RNAcentral lists this long non-coding RNA (1029 nucleotides) under Theobroma cacao (cacao). RNAcentral's name for it is "long non-coding RNA (TCAC_LNC002490)". The record is from RNAcentral. Lineage: Eukaryota; Viridiplantae; Streptophyta; Magnoliopsida; Malvales; Malvaceae.